UGACCAGCAAGAAAGACACGA
Molecule: unclassified non-coding RNA, 21 nt
Filed under: Mus musculus (house mouse)
Lineage: Eukaryota; Metazoa; Chordata; Mammalia; Rodentia; Muridae
Description: oocyte_clustered_small_RNA4654
Source: RNAcentral